This 458-nucleotide ribosomal RNA is filed under the name uncultured bacterium. RNAcentral describes it as "partial 16S ribosomal RNA". It matches the Rfam family "Bacterial small subunit ribosomal RNA", at positions 338 to 795 of the family's 1533-position model. The record is from RNAcentral.
CCUACGGGAGGCAGCAGUGAGGAAUAUUGGUCAAUGGGCGAGAGCCUGAACCAGCCAAGUCGCGUGAGGGAGUACUGCCCUAUGGGUUGUAAACCUCUUUUGUCGGGGAGCAAAAGCCGGACGUGUCCGGCUGUGAGAGUACCCGAAGAAAAAGCAUCGGCUAACUCCGUGCCAGCAGCCGCGGUAAUACGGAGGAUGCGAGCGUUAUCCGGAUUUAUUGGGUUUAAAGGGUGCGCAGGCGGAUUUUUAAGUCAGCGGUAAAAUCGGGGGGCUCAACCCCAUCCAGCCGUUGAAACUGGGGAUCUAGAGUGUGCGAGAGGUAUGCGGAAUGCGUGGUGUAGCGGUGAAAUGCAUAGAUAUCACGCAGAACCCCGAUUGCGAAGGCAGCAUACCGGUGCACAACUGACGCUCAGGCACGAAAGCGUGGGUAUCGAACAGGAUUAGAUACCCGAGUAGUC